Molecule: non-coding RNA, 405 nt
Rfam family: Bacterial RNase P class B
About the family: Ribonuclease P (RNase P) is a ubiquitous endoribonuclease, found in archaea, bacteria and eukarya as well as chloroplasts and mitochondria.
Source: Rfam
AAUGGAAGGUGGUCGAGGUUUAAUAUUGUUUUUAACAAUAUUAGGCUUAGGAAAGUCCAUAUUAGCACAUGUUUAGGAAAGACAUGUAGUGUUUGUGCUUAAGGAAAACAAGAACUUAAGGUGCUUAAAUUCAUUUAAGUAACGACUGUUUAAAUUCUAAAAACUUAUUCAUAAGUUCAUGAAAAUAAACUUAAAGUGCCACAGAAACGAGUUAAUUAGAAAUAAUUAAAUGAAACGCGGUAAACUCCUCAAGCUAACAACCCAAAAAAAUGGUAGGGGCACAUGAAAAUUGACGUUUUCUGUUUUUUUAAUUAUAGUUGGUUUUUGUGCUAUUUUCGAUAACGAAUGUAGAGAUAAAUGAUCACACUUGUUUGCAAAAACAAGAACAGAACAUGGCUUAUGCAC